This 73-nucleotide transfer RNA is filed under the name Pelodiscus sinensis (Chinese soft-shelled turtle). It matches the Rfam family "tRNA". From Rfam's summary of the family: Transfer RNA (tRNA) molecules are approximately 80 nucleotides in length. Their secondary structure includes four short double-helical elements and three loops (D, anti-codon, and T loops). Further hydrogen bonds mediate the characteristic L-shaped molecular structure. tRNAs have two regions of fundamental functional importance: the anti-codon, which is responsible for specific mRNA codon recognition, and the 3' end, to which the tRNAs corresponding amino acid is attached (by aminoacyl-tRNA synthetases). tRNAs cope with the degeneracy of the genetic code in two manners: having more than one tRNA (with a specific anti-codon) for a particular amino acid; and 'wobble' base-pairing, i.e. permitting non-standard base-pairing at the 3rd anti-codon position. Lineage: Eukaryota; Metazoa; Chordata; Testudines; Trionychidae. The record is from Rfam by way of RNAcentral.
GAGUGCAUGGCCUAAAGGAUAAGGUGUCUGCUUUUGGAUCAGAAGAUUAAGGGUUCAAGUCCCUUUACAGUUG